Molecule: long non-coding RNA, 506 nt
Filed under: Homo sapiens (human)
Lineage: Eukaryota; Metazoa; Chordata; Mammalia; Primates; Hominidae
Description: LHRI_LNC281.5
Source: RNAcentral
AGCCAAUGCCUGAAAUAAUGAACUCCUCCAAGGCAAGAAAUCUGUUUUGAAGCUUCUCUGCGUUCACACACAGCAGCCUGGUUUCCUGGAAGGGCAUUUUCCACAUUGUGCGUUAUGGAUGAUCAUCCCAGGCAUCAGGUGUGAAGCCCUGCAUCCACAUCCAGGGGCUAUCAAAUCUCUCUGCAAAAGGAGAAGCUGGACUCAGGCACGUUUACAGUGAUGUGUAUGCAGACAGAAUCUCACUCUGUCUCCCAGGCUGGAGUGCAGUGGCGCAAUCUUGGCUCACUGCAACCUCCGCCUCUUGGGUUCAAGAGAUUUUCCUGCCUCAGCCUCCCAAGUAGCUGGAAUUACAGAGAGAAGGACACAUUCUUGGAUUGAACCCCAAAGGAUGUUGAACUUAACAAGGAUGUCAGAACUAACCCCACCAUAUUCUGGGACCACUUGCUUGCUAAGAACUAAAAGUCACUUAAACCAGUUAAAUAAAAGAGAGUUGAUUUUAAAGAUGC